AGUGGACAGCAACUAUGUGCCAGCAGCUGCGGUAAUACAUAGGUCGCAAGCAUUAUUCGGAUUUAUUGGGCGUAAAGCAAGCGCAGGCGGAUGUGUAAGUUCUGUGUUAAAGGUAGCUACUUAAUAGUUGUUUGCACCGAAUACUACAUGUCUAGAAUGUGGUAGGAAGUUUUGGAAUUAAACAUGGAGCGGUGGAAUGUGUAGAUAUGUUUAAGAACACCGGAGGCGAAGGCGAAAACUUAGGCCAUAAUUGACGCUUAGGCUUGAAAGUGUGGGGAGCAAAUGGGAUUAGAUACCCCAGUAGUCCACACCGUAAACGAUGGGUAUUAGGUAUUGGGGUUUGAGCCUCAGUGCUGUAGCUAACGUGUUAAGUACCCCGCCUGGGUAGUACAUAUGCAAAUAUGAAACUCAAAGGAAUUGACGGGGACCUGAACAAGUGGUGGAGCAUGUUGCUUAAUUCGAUAAUACACGAAAAACCUUACCAAGGUUUGACAUCCUUCGCAAAGCUAUAGAAAUAUAGUAGAGGUUAUCGGAGUGACAGGUGGUGCAUGGCUGUCGUCAGCUCGUGUCUUGAGAUGUUUGGUUAAGUCCCGCAACGAGCGCAACCCUACUCUUUAGUUAUUUUUCUAAAGAGACUGCACAGUAAUGUAGAGGAAGGUUGGGAUCACGUCAAGUCAUCAUGCCCCUUAUGCCUUGGGCUGCAAACGUGCUACAAUGGCAAACACAAUGUGUUGCAGAUCAGCGAUGAUGAGCUAAUCACUAAAUUUUGUCUCAGUUCGGAUAGAAGGCUGCAAUUCGCCUUCUUGAAGUUGGAAUCACUAGUAAUCCCGCAGGAAUAUGGGCCAAGGGCGAAUUCUGCAGAUAUCCAUCACACUGGCGGCCGCUCGAGCAUGCAUCUAGAGGGCCCAAUCGCCCU
Molecule: ribosomal RNA, 916 nt
Filed under: Mycoplasma sp. 30/14
Lineage: Bacteria; Bacillati; Mycoplasmatota; Mollicutes; Mycoplasmatales; Mycoplasmataceae
Description: bacterial SSU rRNA
Rfam family: Bacterial small subunit ribosomal RNA
Source: RNAcentral